CAAGAAUGCAGAGGAUUUAUAUCAACACAAAGAAGAGUCAAAGAGACAUAAAAGGCACACAAUGAAAUCUUAAAAAAUGUACUGGAUGUUGCAGCAUUAACUGAUGAGCCAGACAAGUGCCCUGGUUUUGCUUUGGGAGCCACCUUUCUCUUUCAGAUGCUGUCUCAGUGGGAUGGUCAACCAAUGUAUCCUACAUUUUGAGAACCAGCCAAAGGAAGUAAUGAUAAUGGAAAACAAAUAAGGAGAAGUGAGUUGGAGGGAGAAGGAGACUUUAGCAUCUUCCUGAAAUCGGGAAGAAAGUUUCAAGAAUGAAGUAAUCCAUAAGGUCAAAUACUGCAAUAAGUUUGAGUAGGAUGAAGACUGUAAAGAUGGCAUCAGUUUGGUAGUUAGGACAUUGGUGACCUCCACAGGUGACCUUCAGAAGAAUCACCUGGGGAACUUGUUGAUUGAAUUUGCGAAUCUCCACCUUUAGGGAUUCUGAUUUAGAAGGAGUAGGAGGAAGGCCUUAGGAUCUCCAUUUAUAACAACCAUUACUGAUUAUUUUGAUGCAGGUAAUAUACAGACCACAUUUUAAAGAAACACUAGGCAAGUAUGAUUUUCAUUCAAAAGACAAAAAACGUAAAGUUACCUAAUUCAGGGACCAUUUCAAAGACCAAAUCAAAUCAAUAGCCUGGUUGAUCUGAUCGACUGUGCAGAAACUAACCAUUACCAUGGCAAAGUGCGGAGGAACAGUCAAUAAAAAGCAAUUGAUUUAUUGUUCAUAUAUAAGAUGAAUAUAGACAUGGAUUUUGUUUCAAGUGAUUUGGAUGAAAAAUAAAAG
This 820-nucleotide long non-coding RNA is filed under the name Rhinopithecus bieti (black snub-nosed monkey). Its description in RNAcentral is "lncRNA (ENSRBIG00000046564.1)". Lineage: Eukaryota; Metazoa; Chordata; Mammalia; Primates; Cercopithecidae. The record is from RNAcentral.